RNAcentral lists this ribosomal RNA (407 nucleotides) under uncultured bacterium. RNAcentral's name for it is "partial 16S ribosomal RNA". It matches the Rfam family "Bacterial small subunit ribosomal RNA", at positions 30 to 526 of the family's 1533-position model. The record is from RNAcentral.
AUUGAACGCUGGCGGCGGGCCUAACACAUGCAAGUCGAGCGGAGCGGCGGACGGGUGGGUAAUACCUAGGAAUCUGCCCGGUAGUGGGGGAUACCGUUCGGAAAGGGAAGCUAAUACCGCAUACUAUCAGAUGAGCCUAGGUCGGAUUAGCUAGUUGGUGAGGUAAUGGCUCACCAAGGCUACGAUCCGUAACUGGCCUGAGAGGAUGAUGAGUCACACUGGAACUGAGAAACGGUCCAGACUCCUACGGGAGGCAGCAGUGGGGAAUAUUGGGCAAGGGGCGAAAGCCUGACCCAGCAAUGCCGCGUGUGUGAAGAAGGUCUUCGGAUUGUAAAGCACUGUAAGUUGGGAAGCGGUACCUAAACAGAAAGCAACGGCUAACUCCGUGCCAGCAGCCGCGGUAAUUC